This 779-nucleotide ribosomal RNA is filed under the name uncultured Neocallimastigales. Its description in RNAcentral is "partial large subunit ribosomal RNA". It matches the Rfam family "Eukaryotic large subunit ribosomal RNA", at positions 26 to 639 of the family's 3401-position model. The record is from RNAcentral. Lineage: Eukaryota; Fungi; Neocallimastigomycota; Neocallimastigomycetes; Neocallimastigales.
CGUCUAUAUACGUAUAGCAUAUCAAUAAGCGGAGGAAAAGAAACUAACAAGGAUUCCCUUAGUAACGGCGAGUGAAGCGGGAAGAGCUCAAAUUUGAAAUCUUCAAGGUUCUACCUUGACGAAUUGUAGUUUAUAAGAAGUGUUUUCGGUUAGAUGGAGUAGUCAAAAGUUCUUUGGAAUAGGACAUCAUAGAGGGUGAGAAUCCCGUAUUUGAUCAUUCUCUUCCUAGCUUUGUGAUACACUUUCAACGAGUCGGAUUGUUUGGGAAUGCAGUCCAAAAUGGAUGGUAAAUUUCAUCUAAAGCUAAAUAUUGGCGAGAGACCGAUAGCGAACAAGUACCGUGAGGGAAAGAUGAAAAGAACUUUGAAAAGAGAGUUAAACAGUACGUGAAAUUGUCAAAAGGGAAGCGUUUGACACCAGUGUUGUUUUUCCGAAAAUCAAUUACGAAUGUUUUAUUUUUGAGGAGUUAUGACUUCAUCGGCUUGCUCCUUUCUUUAUGAAACUUUCUUAAUGCACUUUUCGGUUAACAAGUCAACAUCAAUUUCUUUUGUUGUAAAAGGGUAUGAGGAAGGUGGCUUUCUUUUCGGAGAAAGUGUUUAUAGCCUUGUGCCUCUGCAACCGGAGAGAUUGAGGUCUGCAGCGUCGAUCCUUCGGGGUUAGAUACAUUUGUGCUAAGUUAUAGCUUUUCAUAGACAACUUGUUGACUAUGUUUAGUCUUGUAGCUUACUCGCUUAUGCUAUUUUACCUACGCUUAGGAUGUUGACGCGCGUGUGUGCGUG